This 253-nucleotide ribosomal RNA is filed under the name uncultured bacterium. RNAcentral describes it as "partial 16S ribosomal RNA". It matches the Rfam family "Bacterial small subunit ribosomal RNA", at positions 524 to 776 of the family's 1533-position model. The record is from RNAcentral.
UACGUAGGGUGCAAGCGUUAUCCGGAAUCACUGGGCGUAAAGCGUACGUAGGCGGAAGCUUAAGUGUGAUGUUAAAUCGUGUGGCUCAACCAUAUCGAUGCAUCGCAUACUGGGUUUCUAGAGGACGGCAGAGGCAAGUGGAACUCGUAGUGUAGCGGUAAAAUGCGUAGAUAUUACGAAGAACACCAAUGGCGAAGGCAGCUUGCUGGGCCAUUUCUGACGCUGAGGUACGAAAGCGUGGGGAGCGAACAGG